GAUCGUGGCCGGGGCCCCUCCGCCCCCGACGCGACCGCAGAACCGGGUCGGACUGUCCCCCAGUGCGCUCCCGACCGCGUCGCGGCCCAGGGCGGGGACCGGCCCACGACCCAAAGGCGCCACGGGUCAGCGGCGACGUCGGCACCCACCC
This 151-nucleotide ribosomal RNA is filed under the name Osteoglossum sp. Lineage: Eukaryota; Metazoa; Chordata; Actinopteri; Osteoglossiformes; Osteoglossidae. The record is from RNAcentral.